GAGUUCCUUUCCUCUCAGGGCUGAGUUCCUAGAAAUCAGCACAGUUCCCAGCACAGAGGAGAUGUACAUUCAUACGUGCUGCUGAGAUCCACCCUGGGCCCCUGCUCUGAUUCCUGUAGUUGGCUCAUGCUGCCCACCCGGGCCAGAGAAAGCACAGCAGGGUGGCCUGAAGGGCACAUGGAGCCCCAGAGGCAGCUCUUGGAUCUGGAACCAACCUAGAUCCCUCCCUUGCAUUGGGACAGGAUAGGGAAGGUGCUAGGCACUGACCACUAGGCAUUCAAGGGAGGAAGAAUCUGAGAGCAAAGCCCAGGGUAUCCCGGCACCCUUCCACCAAAUACCCAGUGCCACCAGCUCCUACAGUUCCUUCCAGAAGUGGCCCACGUCUGGCCUGAUCCCUCAUCCCACCAGACACACACCUAAGCACACUCUGUGCCACCCGACAGAGACCUUGCUUCUUCGGGCUGAUGAUGACAAGUGAAACCAGUCAGCACCAGGGGGAUCUGACGUGGACCCAGCCCUCCAGGAAAUAGCACUGCAGCGGGAGGCUCCUGAGACACGCCUUAGACCACAGUGGGUGGGGCCCAGCCGCUGCCUGUCCUCUUGCUGCCCUGCCCAGGAAGAAGCCAGCCAGAGAGAUGUCUGACCCAUCGGUCCUCCCCUCUGUCCUCUGGCCUGAUCCCCCUCCUCUCCCCAUGGUGGCUCAGGCUGGCCGUGCCCUUCCCAUCCUGUGGGCCAGCGGUCUAGGGUGGGGAGCUCAUGGUGGGAGUGAAGCCAUCUCGGCUCUGACCUGGGCUAGGCCCAAACCUGCCUCCCUUGGGGCCUUAUUCUGGUUGGAAGAAAAGAGCCGCUUUAGUCUCUGACUCGUGGAGACAGACAACCAGAAUCUUUCUCCUAAGCUUUUCCUCAGGACUCACCUCAUUGUGCAUCUGCUUGAAGCCCUUUCUAGAUAAAAAUGAGUAAAAUGCACAGAUCUAUAAGUCUCUGUAUGUAUGCAAAUGUACUUUGUGUGGUGUCAUCGGUCUAGCAAAACCCAU
This is a long non-coding RNA of Bos taurus (domestic cattle), 1034 nucleotides long. NCBI's taxonomy places the organism in Eukaryota, Metazoa, Chordata, Mammalia, Artiodactyla, Bovidae. The record is from Ensembl.